Molecule: ribosomal RNA, 497 nt
Filed under: uncultured bacterium
Lineage: Bacteria
Description: partial 16S ribosomal RNA
Rfam family: Bacterial small subunit ribosomal RNA
Source: RNAcentral
GACGAACGCUGGCGGCGUGCCUAAUACAUGCAAGUUGAGCGCUGAAGGUUGGUGCUUGUUCCUAUUGGCUGAGCAGCAAACGGGUGAGUAACGCGUGGGGAACCUGCCUUUUAGCGGGGGACAACAUUUGGAAACGAAUGCUAAUACCGCAUAAAAACUUUAAACACAAGUUUUAUGUUUGAAAGAUGCAAUUGCUUCACUCCAAGAUGAUCCUGCGUUGUAUUAGCUAGUUGGUGAGGUAACGGCUCACCAAGGCGACGAUACAUAGCCGACCUGAGAGGGUGAGCGGCGAAAGUGGGACUGAGACACGGCCCAAACGCCUACGGGAGGCAGCAGUAGGGAAUCUUCGGCAAUGGACGAAAGUCUGACCGAGCAACGCCGCGUGAGUGAAGAAGGGUGUCGGAUCGUAAAACUCUGUUGGUAGAGAAGAACGUGGGUGAGAGUGGAAAGCUCAUCAAGUGACGGUAACUACACAGAAAGGGACGGCUAACUACGUG